Cyanistes caeruleus (blue tit) is the source of this 855-nucleotide non-coding RNA. The record is from RefSeq and is a predicted model, not a curated record. NCBI's taxonomy places the organism in Eukaryota, Metazoa, Chordata, Aves, Passeriformes, Paridae.
AAGAAAACCAGAACUUGACGGCUGAUUGCAGAUCAUGACCAGAGCCGGGGCUGCUCCUGCCACAGUUCCCACCAAGGCAGGUCCCACUGAGAAUGCCAAGGUGUAUCUCAGCACAGGCCAUGUCCUGGCAGAUCCUGAGCUUUUGCCUGCCAGAACCUACUUAAAAAAAGAAACUGCCCUCUGCCCUUAAACUGUCUCAUCUUGGGAGUCUAAAUCCAGAUACUCCUUGGAGGGGAGAAAAGGCUCAGUACUUGUGUGUCCCGCUGACCCCGGGCCUGUGACUCUGAGAGACACCCCCACGUUGAGCACCCACCUUAGGGGGCUGCUACAUUCGUCACAGGUCCCUGGGAGCCGCCUCUCCCUCGGGCACCUGCGGGAGCAGGAGUGUGGCUCAGGGAGAUGUGUCUGCCCCCGGGAUAUUCCCCCUCGCAGAUUUGUUUGCCCAGGGCAGCCACAGUAGCCAUGGCAUUACCCUGCACGGCCUGGCGGGGCCGACCAGGCGGUGCCACCGAAGCUCUAAGGGGGCUGUGAUGGAGAUCGAAUCCUGCCUGCACCAGUGCCAGAAGCAGAGAACCACAGCACUGCACAACCCUCCUGUCAUUUUUUUUUUUUUUUUUUGCUUUUCUUGCUAAGAAACAAUUUAUCAAGGCCUCCACUGCUGGUACUGACAAGAUUCAUGGCAGCAGCAGGAUCUGGGCUUAGGUGGUGGGACAGGGCUCUUCCUCACAGCCACCGCUGUGCUCUGCUCCUCAUAAAUAGGAGGCAGUGUCCUAACUGGUGUGAUCCAGCCUCUACAGUCACACAGGUGCAGAUCAAAUGAAGCCCAGAGCAGCAAAGGCCUUUGCUUUGUCUAAU